Molecule: non-coding RNA, 1016 nt
Organism: Zootermopsis nevadensis
Lineage: Eukaryota; Metazoa; Arthropoda; Insecta; Blattodea; Termopsidae
Source: RefSeq, a predicted model, not a curated record
GAGGGGAUGAGAGAAAGUACCGAAAACUUCAGUUAUGAUAGACAGUCUCCUGGAUGAGCUUUACACCCUGCAUCUUCUGAAUACAGGGCACGAGUUUAACCGCUGAACUAGAACUUGCCUUUCCCCGGGUUGAAGAUUUUUGCAAUAGUACGUUAUGCAGCAAGCAGGAAAGUUUGUUAUUCAUCACAUUACAUAAUGAUGUGUCGGUUUGCAGAAUUUUGGUCCAUGUAGAUUCUAGAGCAGGGAUUCUCAACGUUUUCCAAAGAGACGGACGAAGUCAAUCUGUCUUAUAAAGCAGGGAAACAAGGAAAAAUGUUGGAAGGCCACACAAAGCAUAUGAGACAGCAGAGUAAUGCUCGCAGACCGCAGGUUCAUAACAGCUGUUCCACAGGUACCACGUGUACUGUUACUGCACACAACCUCAGACUGCCUUCCUCCUGCAAUAGCAAAAUAAUGAAGGACGUAAAAUCUAAGCCCUUGGCUGAUUAAGCUACAUGAUUUAACAUCUAAAUCUGAGCCGCGCUGAGUGACCUUCAAAAGAAUUUGACUCACCGGAAAACAAAAAAGCAUCGUUUGAAAAUUCUGAAAGUUUACGUCAAUUGUCUUACAUAGAAAAAUUUAAUUUGCUUAAAGUCUUCCUUAAGUAAGAUAGAUCAAAUAUGGCAUGUUAUAAGGCGUCUUAGGUUUUUGGCAUCAUACUGUGCUCAUAAGCACAGGGUCAUAGGAUCGAAUGCUGGCUGAUGAAGUCUUUUAUUUUUCCUUCAUACAUCCGCCAUAUUGUUAUCUUACAUUAUAUAAAGAAUUAUUUUGAGUGUUCUAUAUCUCCCGAAAAUCCGUAACCAUAUAUCACAGUACUUCGCUAUUGUAAGCGGUACUAGUGUCGACUCUACCUCAGAAGUUUGGUCGUCCGCCAUAUUGGUAUUACCGAUUCCAGAAAAUUGAAAAGAUUGAUUUUAGGGUAGUCCCAGUUGCACAACGGUUAUACCAGAUUUAAUACAAAUCUGUCUCAACAUCUA